AAGUACUUCUCGCUCCACGUCAAGGCGAAGUCUUGACGGUCUGCCUCAGUAG
This 52-nucleotide non-coding RNA is filed under the name Chromera velia. Lineage: Eukaryota; Chromeraceae. The record is from RNAcentral.